GUUUUUUUAUUAUGUGUUGUUUUUUUGUUUUUUUCUGUCAUUGUGCAGCAACUUUGCAUUCAAUACAAAAACUAUUAAUGUGGAAUUUCAAAAAAUAUCAAGGAAGAUAUAUUUCAUCAAAUUUCUCCUGGUAAUAUGGGUCAACAGUAAUAAAUAAUUUUUUGCUAAUUCACUAAUAAUUAUUGAGUGAUUUGUGCAUUUCUCCAGCAUUUAAUUCACUGUGCUUGAAGCAGAAUUGACCUUGUCUCAUGAGCGGAUGAUCCCAUAUAUGUGAGCGAUAAAGUGAAGUGUUCUCGCGGGGUGGUUAUGUUUUGCAAAAUAUGGCAAAAAUGUGAGACGGGUGCUACAGUGUCCACUGUGACUCACAGAUCUCAGAGAGGACAGAUUCCCACCUGGAAAACUCGCGCCUCUGCCUGACUCUGUGGGACGGAGUCCUGCAGCUCGGAGCGCAGGUGGAGAAGUGGAGCGCCGAUGAACUCGCGGCGUUCGCUCGGUCGCCGCGCUUUCAGUCCGAGGACGACGUCAGGGCACUGCAGGUGGAACUCGAAGUUUACUCUCAUCCUCCUGUAACAUGCACACUUUCAGAACCCCUCGUGGUUGUCGUAUGUGAAGUUAAACCAUUUCUGCAGGUGCUUUGAAUAGUGAUGACCUUCCUCUGUCUCCAGAAGGAGAUUGUGGCCCAGGAGGAGAAUGUGAGUGUUUUCAACGGAGAGCCGCUGAGAUUCAAUCUCUGCUUCGAAGUGCAGAUCCCCCGCUGGAGCUGCAGGUGGCGGAGGCCCAGAUGAGGAAGACGCUGGAGCAGCUGAAGGAGCUUGUGUCCGAGGCUGAGGACGUCCGCGAGCAGACGGAGGCUGCCAGGGGACAAAUAGCUGCGCGGAUCGCCGGCUGCUUCGAGUGCCUCCAGAACGUUCAGGACUCCCUCGUCGCCCUCGGUGGAUCAGAUGUGGCAACGGUCCUCGCAAAACUUAAAGAUCUAUGUCGGCGACUCCAGGCCCAGGACGAGCGGGUGGAGAGCUUGCUGGACGACCUGCGCGCCCUGAGCUCCGUCUGCGGCCCGGACGCUCUACAGAGUCUGUCGGCGGAGGCGCUGCGGCUGCACGACGAGGUCGGGAACUCGCGCCGGCUCUUCUCCGAGGUGCAAGAACAGACUCAGCGGAACGCCCGGGAUCUCCACAGGUGCCAGAAGUUCACGGUCACGUAACGUUCACAUUCACAAACAUUCGCACACCACAACACGGGCGUUGAAGAGCCGCUCGGCAGGUAUGUCCGGAGUCGCUGUAGUUUUAAUCUAUUGUCCGAAAGCUGCCUGAUCGCUUGGCUGUGAUUUAGUGGUUGUCACCAGCCUAAAGAAACACAAAGCAGGCAAAACCUGAAGUGAACUUACAGUCGCGGAUGAGUCUCAAAGCACGAGAGCAGCUGGUGAUCAGUGAAGAAUGCAGAACAUAUUUAUUUAAUACUUUAGAGGACAUCAGAUUGGAUCAGAUUUGAAAAGAAAAAAAUCUGUCUUGAGUAUUAAGGAAAUUAUUUAGUUGAAUCCAUGAUAUUUCUUAAUAUAAUAAUUCACCUUUGCGUUGCCUGUCAGUGCUUUAUUGUUGCACUCACGUUCUCACCCUGAUAUCACUUGAAUAUAGUUUAAUGGUAAAAAAAAAAGAAGUGAUAAUUAAACAGCUACAAUAGUUGGCUACAAUAACGGAUGAUGUAAAUAAUAAGCUUAAAAUUUUAAAUGUGUUGGCUAACACUAAGCUACGUAGUUGAAAAGUCCCAACUUCUGCCACUCAAAGUGAUAUAUGUACAAAUACAAACUCAAACCAAAUCGAGACAGAUGACCGCCCACAACUGAGUCUGGUUCUGUCAGAGAUUUCUUCCUGUUAAAAGGGAGUUUUUUCUCUCCACCGUCGCCAAGUGCUUUGCUCAUUGUGGGAUUUGUUGGGUUUUCCCUGUAAUAUUGUAAUAUUGACCUCACUAUGUAAAGUGCCUUGAGACAAUGUAUGUUGUGAUAUGGCCCUAUACAAAUAAAAUUGAAUUGAAUUGAAUUGAAUCUACUGUAUAGUAGGUUUUGCAUAUUGCACACGAGCGUCGUGUGCACUCGUGCCUGCAUUCAUGCUGCAUGUAUGAAUGGAUUUUUUAUUUGAUAGGGACGGUGCAAUUUACUUAGUGCAAAGUACAAAGCCGGAAACCGAUGAGAGUUUAUAGCUGUAGCUAAUUUGCAACUUUUGUCCCUUGUCUGUGUGUGUGUGUGUGUGUGUGUGUGUGUGUGUGUGUGUGUGCGUGUGCGUGUGUCGCAGGUUGCAAAGGGAGAGUGAGCAUGUGGAGCAAUGGCUGCAAGCCGCUGAGGAAAAGGCAGCGAGGGCGGAGGAUCUCAGUCUCCUGUCAGAGGAAGCACUUAAUAUAAGGUAAGUUAAGGCAAGGUAAUGCUCUGUUUGCUGUUUUUGCAAAUCUUGUAUUAAUUAAGACUUCAUAUGUAUUUGUGAGCUGUUAUCAGGCACUGGGAGCGGCGUCCGUAUUUAGGCUCAAGUUAGUUUAUUGACUUCCAUGAAGCAGCAGUACAAUACAAAUUAGUCAUACGUGACCAAACAUCCCAUAUGCAAGUCUUGUCUGCACAUGAAUAAGUCCACGAUUUAAAUUCUUAUUAAAUAAAGCAGCAAGAUUCUCUCUUUCCAAAGUAAAGUCGGUGCUGAAUCUAAUCUGAUGUGUACACAUCGGGAAUCACGAUCAGGAUUGAAGUGAGGAAAUAAGCACCAGAUUAAUACAAUUGAAUCAACAAAGUGCAGUGGUUCUGACUUUACAGACAUGAGUUGUGGAGGUUGUUUGUCCUGUUAUUCACCACCAGAGGCGACUGACUCACGCUGAGCCACGUGACCGUUUGUUGACACACAAAAGGUGGAAAAUCGUAGAUUGAGAUGUAAAGAAUGACACAACCCUCUUUUUUUUAUUUUCUAUCAAUAAUUCAGUCGACGGCCAUUUUGAAAGCUGUUUAAUAUUUUUUAACAACCAGUACAAUAAUGUGAAGCCUGAU
This 3016-nucleotide long non-coding RNA is filed under the name Scophthalmus maximus (turbot). Its description in RNAcentral is "lncRNA (ENSSMAG00000022393.1)". The record is from RNAcentral. Lineage: Eukaryota; Metazoa; Chordata; Actinopteri; Pleuronectiformes; Scophthalmidae.